RNAcentral lists this ribosomal RNA (396 nucleotides) under uncultured bacterium. RNAcentral describes it as "partial 16S ribosomal RNA". It matches the Rfam family "Bacterial small subunit ribosomal RNA", at positions 523 to 918 of the family's 1533-position model. The record is from RNAcentral.
AUACGUAGGGAGCGAGCGUUGUCCGGAAUUACUGGGUGUAAAGGGUGCGUAGGCGGGACUGCAAGUCAGAUGUGAAAUGCCGGGGCUCAACCCCGGAGCUGCAUUUGAAACUGUGGUUCUUGAGUGCGGUAGAGGUAAGCGGAAUUCCUAGUGUAGCGGUGAAAUGCGUAGAUAUUAGGAGGAACAUCGGUGGCGAAGGCGGCUUACUGGGCCUCUACUGACGCUGAGGCACGAAAGCGUGGGGAGCAAACAGGAUUAGAUACCCUGGUAGUCCACGCUGUAAACGAUGAUGACUAGGUGUGGGGGGACUGAACCCUUCCGUGCCGCAGUUAACACAAUAAGUCAUCCACCUGGGGAGUACGGCCGCAAGGUUGAAACUCAAAUGAAUUGGCGGGG